GGAACACCAAGACUCCGGGCUGAAAUUUUAACAUUAAAAGGUGCAAUCGUAGAUUAAGGUAUUCAAUGUUGUGUAGGAUGGCGCCAAAGUGGGUGUGGAUGGGAGUUGCAAUGGUGUUAGCAGAGAUGAGGUGGUGUUAUGGUUGUUGGGAGCAAGAGAGAAUUGCUCUCUUACAGCUUAAGCCUUUCUUCGAUAGUUCUCUCACUCUGCAAAACUGGGCAGAUGCAGAGGAGGGCUCAGACUGUUGUCAAUGGGAAAGGGUCGAGUGCAGUAGCACCACAGGGAGAGUGACCCAACUCUCUUUAAAUAAUACAAGGGAUUUGAUUUCUGGGAAGUGGUAUCUUAAUGCCUCUCUGUUUCUUGCUUUUGAAGAAUUGACUAGUCUCUACUUGAUGGGGAACUUAAUACUGGGUUGUGAGAAUGAAGGUUUUGAAAGAUU
This 439-nucleotide unclassified non-coding RNA is filed under the name Hevea brasiliensis (rubber tree). The record is from RNAcentral. Lineage: Eukaryota; Viridiplantae; Streptophyta; Magnoliopsida; Malpighiales; Euphorbiaceae.